UUGAAUCUAAGUUGGUUAUAAAAACUUGAGGUGACAUUUUUGAAAUUAAUAUCAAAUUUUUAUAAAGCAUUAACAACGGUUUGUAUAAAACCACUUUUGAUAUAAAUGUUACUAAAUCGUCUUUGUUCGUAAGCCUAUUACUACGGUUCCUUAAAAACCGCCUUUGUCUCAUAUUUAUAAUUACUUUAUUAAUUUUUGCUUUGUAGUCUUUGGAACUCAUACGCGCAUGCCUUUCCAUUCACUCUCACCCUUCAUCUCGUUGUGACCUCCACACAUCUCAC
Molecule: long non-coding RNA, 281 nt
Filed under: Glycine max (soybean)
Lineage: Eukaryota; Viridiplantae; Streptophyta; Magnoliopsida; Fabales; Fabaceae
Description: long non-coding RNA (GMAX_LNC002474)
Source: RNAcentral